UGGGUUUUAUUUCGUAGCUAUUCAUGUUUUAGCCAAGCGCUCCCUCCCAACCUUGGGUACUUUUAAGAUGCUGUUGCGCACCACCCAUAAUCUGUGGCGGUUCCAUCAUCCCCCACUGACAAUUUACUCACACAUUCCUUCAAGACCAAAACUUAGCCACCGUCUUCGAGAUUUACGCGGUCAAAGCAGAGGAUCUGUUGCUAGGAAUAGCCUACGAGCACCGCCUCUACCAGUCAUGUAAUGGGAACACAACCCUUAAAAGGUACACAAGCAAGGCGUACUUGCUUGGUCACCUAAUCCUGAGAAGCUCCUGGGAGAAAAGAAGGUACAGGCCAAAAUGUACGUAACUGCACUGUAAACUAUAACAUUUAGCUAAUACUCGCGACCUUUCUUAUUCUUGGCAAACGACGAGGACAAAUACGGCUCUCGGGUCAAAAUUCGGAUAAAUGCACAAUUACACAGGGAUAAUCAAGGUAAAUAACUGCCGCCCAAAAAAAAUGGUGGUAAUUCGCAACACCGCGAUGCGACGACUGGAAGAUCACGAGAUGAGGUGGAUGUUGUAGUCCGAAACGGACUCAACGAGAAAUGCUGGAUGUCGUCGGCGCGAAUAGCGAAGGGCGUUCUCGGCUGGUCUUCUGUGCGCGGCACCGAUGGCUAGCAGCCAAAUUGUGAGUAGUAUGUAAUAUUGUAGCAGAACUCCCAAGAAUAAAGUGAAACUCCCAAGUAAGACUCCCGGGUCCUUUAUGUCGGGACCCCGGUUGCCUUAUAAAAGAUUAAUAAUAAAUACCGCACUCUAUGCUAACUAUCACUCACUUUUAUUUAAUUUUAAGCAUAAAAUUUAACUUAGAACUUCUAGCUGCAUCUGUCUGGUUUGGUGACUAUACCAAUAUCUGCUGACCAUCUUUGUUUCUCCCCCGCCAUACUACAUGGCCAUUUAAGGUAAUCUCAGAGCAAACCGGACUUAGUCCUCAAAGGCCAGAUCGGCCGCCAGAUUCAUUCAGCUCAUGCAACUAUCGCCCUAUCGGUCCCUCCCAUUAUCGACUACAACUGCAACACAUAUAAUUAAUCUACUUCACAAAUUAAAUAGUAUCCAGGUUUCUUUUGUGAAACAUACCCCCUAAAACGUAUGGAUAGGCAAAAAAGUUUAAAGCUCAGGCAGGCUUAUAAUGUAGUAGUAUGUUCACAUAUCGAAUGCACACUGUACUCAGUGUUACGCAUCGAUUUAAGUACAGCCCCUUUAUUUGUCAUUUUUGCAUUUGACCACAAUAACAAAACACAAAUUUAGAAACCAAAAAGGCCCGGUUAUAUGUCCGCCAUCGAAUGCGUGUGAACUGCAGUGUCAGCAUAUUUGAUAUGUGCGACCGCUCCGACAGCCAAGUGAACAUAGUAACUCUCUCUCAUAUAUAUACACUAUUAUACAUAAGCGUUGAUCGCGGCUCUGCCGACGUCUUUGCCGACACAGCCGGGCCAUCUUAGCUUUAUGCAAAUAUGUAACAGAAUUAAGAAAUCAGAAUUUAAGAAUGAAAGCUUGGGAGCGCACCGUCGAGUCGCUCCCAAGUCAACAAUAAAGAUCAUUUUAACACUAAACUAGUAAAUUAGUACAUGUGGCACCAUUUGCAGAAAAAAAAUGUCAAUACGUGUCUUUAUACAAUAAUGUGUUGCAUGUACAACUUGAGGUGUUGUCAAUGGGUACACACUUUAAGGCUUAGCCGAAAAUCGUAAAAACUGCUUUUGAAAAUUAGGAAUAAGGUUUAAAAAAUAUCGGAAAAAAAAACUUUUUGUCAUAAUCUUUAAAUGAUAAUAUUAAGACAAAUCUUGUUAGGAAAGCGAACAAAGUAUUUCAAAAUACCUUUCUAACGAUUGCAGAAACCUAUAGCUUUAAAAGUUCUCUAGUUAUAAGUAUACAAAAUUGAGCUAUUUAUUUUUUUUGGGCUAGUUUUUUUAAAUGAGUUAAAAGUGAAGUUUCUCCUAUUAAGCUGUACAACAUCAUUUUUAAUUUUCAGGACCUUCAAAAAGUGUUUGGAUAUGCACAAAGGCAGUGUAAGAUGCGCUAAACUGGUAACCUUUUUUGUUGAUUAAUAAUCUUGUCACGGGUAUUUGUUCAAGAAUGUAUCGGAUGUCAAAAGAUGAGGAAUCUGAAGUGCUAUACAUUUUAAAAUUUAAUUUAAUAUUUAUGUAGACGUUUUUAGGAAAUUAGAAAAAAAGGUAUUUAGUAUAUGUAAAUUACUAAAUGUCCCCUGGCAGCAAUCCAAGUGUCGGCAGCAGAAGGGGGUGUGCCGGGCAGGUCAGCCUAGCGGUCUUCCUUCUUGGCUGGGAAGUACGUAGGGAAUUAAUCAGUCCCGCGCAGCAGUCAAUGUGUCGGCAGCGGGAGAGGUUGUGCCGGACAAGUCAGCCUAGCGGUUUCCCUUCUUAGUUAGGAAUUAUGUAGGGAGGAACUACCUCCGUUAUCAUUGGCCCUUAAGGCACAACAACCAAUAAUAAUAAAUGUGUAACGGCUGAGCCGGAAUUCAAAUUCAAGAGCGAUGGCUCUGUCUUUAUUGAGAUAUCAAAAUGAACUGAACUUAAAGCUAACAUAAAAAGGGACUCAUAGCGGCCACUCCAAUGGGUAGUGCUUGCCAAAAUUACUUUUGAACGGAUCGAGGUGUUUUUGUUCCCACCGACCCCAAAUAAUUAAAUUUUCUAAAUUUUUACUUUUUCACUUUCCUCGCACUUUCUCCCAAGCCAAUUGAUUUUUUUUGAAGUCCCUCAUUUUAUGCACCACUCGCAAUAAUCGGACGAUUACAGUAGAUUUUCAUUUCUUCGUGUAUAUAUAGUAGUUGCCUUGGCACACCCUGCAGGUGCGCUUCGUCACUACGUGGACUGCCGUCCACAGUGAUAUGAAUCAAUAAGAAUAAAACUAGCUUGCCAGAAACAUCUACUCACACCGGCCCCUACAACUCAAAUUUUUGUAAUUUUCUCUUUUACACCUUUACUGCUCUUUCUCCAAAAGCAAUUGAAAUAUUUUCUGUUUAGUUUUGUUUAAAUAUAUGUUUCAAUCGGACCAACACAGAAGUUUUUAUUAGCGGCUAUAUAUAUAGUAGUCGACAGCAUACUCUCCUGUUGAGCGUUUGCCCCUACGUAAACUGCCGUCCACAGUAAUUUAAGAUCAUCUGGUAGCGCCUUCGGAGCCCCCCGAGAAGACUACCCAAAAAGCAAUGAGGAACGUGAAAAUUCUGCGUUUCCUAAAAGGGUGCUGCCGAAGACUCCUGAAGCUAAGGAGUCACCAGGAAUCUACCCCAUCCUUAAACCAUGGAGCCAUCGUGUUACUGUAGUUUAAAAAAAUUAUUUGAUUUAAUGAAGAAAAUUAACAAUUAAGAAAAUAUUCAAAAAGCUGGCUGACUAAUGACUAAAUGACUUCCCGGUUGACUGAGAGACUCUAGCUUUAAGUCUGUGGAUCAGUCCCCUCAAAAUAAUAUGUUUUCCACAUCUUUUUGCCCACAUCCUUUUGGCCCAUUUUUUCCGACUUUGGACUAACACGAACGCAUACAUAAAUAUAUUUCUCAUUCUCAGCCUCUGGCGUCAUAGCUUUUCUUCUCGGUCGAUUGUGUAUUGACGAGACCAGUAUAUUUCAGUUAAAAUUGUCUUUCUCGUAUGACAGUGUGCGUUACAAUUUUAAAGGGUUGUGAGCGUUACAGACGGCGUGUCACCCUUGUGAAACAAACUUGCUCUAUAGAAUCUAUUUAUCUAUGUAUAUAUAGAAUGUGCAUGGCUUAUUCCAGUAAUGCAGCUUUUAUAAUUUUCGAGAUAAAAACCUUCAAAUGGUCAGAGGUUCAGGUCUAGAAAUACUCGGCUAGUGAUCUUGAUCAGAAAUAUAUAUACUUCAUUUGUUUGAAAAGUCUUCCUAGUAGCUGUUACAUACCUUAAGACGAAUCAAUCGCUCAGGGAGCUCGAGUGAAUAAACUUCACAAACCGACUGGAGUUAAUAAAAAACAUCGCAAGCCGUCUCUUGUUAAAAUUUUCUUUUUUUUUUUAAAUUCCUACCAACUCCCUUCCUUCAGAACUUCUAUAUUACGUUUGUAUUUAGAGUUAGUAUUUUAUGUUAAAUAGAAUUAUUUAAAUCUAGUAUUUUAUAGUAAUGAGAGUAAAUAAGUUAGAUAUGAGUCGUUUCAGCAGUUCUAAGUGCCGCUAUUCAUAAAUAAUGUGAAGUUCUGCAACAAACGUUCUGGGCCGCCAUGCACUCCCAACGGCACUCGGAUUAGACCAAACAUAUCGACUCUACUUAUUCUAGAGGAUCGACCGACUUUGACACGGUCAUUCCAUUAUUUGCGACGUUAACCGUGGCUUUUAUGGGAAACAGUACGUGCAUCGGCGCACAACUUUGGUAAAAAAAACUAUGUUCGACGCUUUUACGAUUGAAAAAGU
Drosophila biarmipes is the source of this 4401-nucleotide long non-coding RNA. RefSeq lists it as uncharacterized. Lineage: Eukaryota; Metazoa; Arthropoda; Insecta; Diptera; Drosophilidae. The record is from RefSeq and is a predicted model, not a curated record. The transcript has 3 exons.